AUGCAAGUCGAACGAGAUCUUCGGAUCUAGUGGCGCACGGGUGCGUAACGCGUGGGGAUCUACCAUAGGGUGCGGAAUAACUCAGAGAAAUUUGAGCUAAUACCGCAUAAUGUCUUCGGACCAAAGAUUUAUCGCCCUAUGAUGAACCCGCGUAAGAUUAGCUUGUUGGUGAGGUAAAGGCUCACCAAGGCGACGAUCUUUAGCUGGUCUGAGAGGAUGAUCAGCCACACUGGGACUGAGACACGGCCCAGACUCC
This 256-nucleotide ribosomal RNA is filed under the name unidentified marine bacterioplankton. RNAcentral's name for it is "partial 16S ribosomal RNA". It matches the Rfam family "Bacterial small subunit ribosomal RNA", at positions 55 to 339 of the family's 1533-position model. The record is from RNAcentral. RNAcentral also lists the same sequence under 1 other name.